Molecule: long non-coding RNA, 207 nt
Filed under: Carica papaya (papaya)
Lineage: Eukaryota; Viridiplantae; Streptophyta; Magnoliopsida; Brassicales; Caricaceae
Description: long non-coding RNA (CPAP_LNC006758)
Source: RNAcentral
AAUGCAAGAUCAUCUCAAUCGCAAGGAGGUUGGCUUGGCCGACCGAAUGCACUAACUUGAAGACACCAUCCUGCAGCUGACGGAGUCUCUGAUGCUACUUGACGCCAGUAGCAACAUGCCCAACCGGUCAGGGCAACUGCGUCCGCCUCGCGAAGAUGGGGGUUGACCACCGAUUUGCUCCAAGCUUGCAAAACUAGACUUCCCUAC